CUCCCAAAGUGCUGGGUUUAGAGGUGUGAGCCACAGCACCCGGCCUAGUACAAAGAGAUUUUAUGCCAUAUGACCUAGGCCUGGCUGAUGCCCAGGACAGGUGAUGGGGUGAGUUGGUUGGGGGUCAGGGGGGCAGAUCAUGGAUAUAUAAGAAGAGGUCAUAAAGAGUCCAGGAAUAGCAGGGAAUGAGAACAGAUUUCAAUUUUGUGUAUAAUGCAGGGAUCCAGGAUAUAACUUAUCAAAGGGCCAGGAGUCCUUUGGUUUGUAGGGAAUUCCUGUUUCCAGGCAGGUACACAAACCUUCCUGGGGAGACUUCUUAGAGCAUUACUCUUCAAGAACAGAAUGUCCAUUAGCAGAAAAAGACCUCUUGGUAGGAAAACUAUCUUAUUCUCUACAUUAGAGGCAGCUUUUAUUCUAGAAGUAAGGGGAGAUGGCCCUUAUUGACUCCUAGCAGGAAUAUUAUUAUCGCUAUCUAAGCAAGAAGCUAUUUCUAAGGCUGGGUUGAAGGUGGAUUCAACUUAUCUAAUCAUAUUUAACUUGAGAUAUAAAAUCUAAGGCAUGGGGAAUGCUAUGGACUGAAUUGCCUUCCUCCCAAAUCCAUCGGUUGAAGCUCUAAACUCCAAUAUAAUUGUAUCUAGAUAGACCCUCUAGAUAGGGUCUUUAGGAGGUAAUUAAUAUUAAAUGAGUUCAUAAGAGUGGACCCCUAAUCCAAUAAGACUGUGACCUUUUAAAAGAAGGAAGAGCUCUCUCUGCCAUGUGAGGAAACAGCAAGAAGGUGGCUGUCUGCAAGCCAGUAGGAGAGCCCUCAUCAGGAACUGAGUCAGCUAGAACCUUGAUCUUGAACUUCCCCAGCUCCAGAAUUGUGAGAAAUCAAUUUCUGUUGUUUAAGCAUCCAGUUUGUUACAGAAGCCUGAGCAGACCAACACAGGGAGGCACACUAGAAACCAACACAAUUACCCAUAAAACAGCAUGGCCAUCUGUCACAAACUGCCCACUGUAUUCUCAGUUGUAACCUUGAAUCUGUAUUCAUGCUCCUCAUCAUGAAGUUGCUGUAAAAUGAAUGCUAAUGAACUAGGAUCUGCUGUGCACGAACAACUGCCAAAAUGUAGCAACAGGAAAACAUGAACACAGGUACCUAUGAUGGCGGGCCUGCAUGAGAUGCUGGAAGACGUGUAGAACUGAGUGAAAUUUUCUUUGUCCUCAGAGAGGUGAUGGCUCUAUUAAAGUGUCCAGAGAGAACUCAUCUCACACCAAGGGCAUAGGAGCAGCCACACUUAAGAUCAACUGUCCUUAACCACAGCAUCAUGAUACGCUGGAUUACCCAAUCGCUUGUAAGGAAAGACAGAGAUGAAGUUAUCCUGACUGCUGAGAUGAGCAGUUUACCCUAGGAGGACCUGUGGGACUAUGUUUUGGUAAAGAAAAGUUGAGCUGCUCUGUGGGAGUGAGGUUCCAAUGAAGCCAAAUGUACAAGGUGUGUGUUCUAUGGCCUAAAGACCCGUAGAUGGUAUCACAAUGGCAUGAGAAAGGUUCAAAGAUACAUGUUAUUUGGGGGAGCCUGGGGAAUGUGGUGACUGCUAAAGGGUGUGGGGUUUCUUUCUGGGGUGAUAAAAGUGUUGUAAAAUUGGUCGUGGUGAUAGUUACACAGCUCUGUGGAUAAAAAGCAUUGAACUAUACACUUUAAAUGGGAGGACUGUAUGGUAUGCAAAUUAUAUCUUAAUAAAGAAGUUAUCAAAAAAUACAAGUUACUGGCCAUCGGAGUUGGAAGAGGAGAGAAUGGAUCGGCCCAAAUCAACUGCACCAGCUGAAACACAAUUUUAUGUAUUUAUUUAUUUAUUGAGACAGAGUCUUGCUCUGUUGCCCAGGCUGGAGUGC
Molecule: long non-coding RNA, 1872 nt
Filed under: Homo sapiens (human)
Lineage: Eukaryota; Metazoa; Chordata; Mammalia; Primates; Hominidae
Description: HSALNT0316797
Source: RNAcentral